Molecule: ribosomal RNA, 356 nt
Filed under: uncultured bacterium
Lineage: Bacteria
Description: bacterial SSU rRNA
Rfam family: Bacterial small subunit ribosomal RNA
Source: RNAcentral
AACGAACGCUGGCGGCAGGCCUCAAACAUGCAAGUCUAGGGGGUGUAGCAAUACAUCACCGGCGGACGGGUGCGUAACACGUGGGAAUAUACCUUUUGGUUUCGGGAACAACGCAGGGAAACGUUGCGCUAAUACCGAAUGUGCCCUUACGGGGAAAGGAUUUAUCGCCAAAGGAUUAGCCCGCGUAGGAUUAGCUAGUUGGUGAGGUAAUGGCUCACCAAGGCUCCGAUCCUUAGCUGUUCUGAGAGGAAGAUCAGCCACACUGGGACUGAGACACGGCCCAGACUCCUACGGGAGGGCAGCAGUUGGGAAGUCUUGGACAAUAGGGGGGAAACCCGUACGAUCCACGCCAUGCC